Tympanuchus pallidicinctus (lesser prairie-chicken) is the source of this 381-nucleotide long non-coding RNA. RefSeq lists it as uncharacterized. NCBI's taxonomy places the organism in Eukaryota, Metazoa, Chordata, Aves, Galliformes, Phasianidae. The transcript is spliced from 3 exons. The record is from RefSeq and is a predicted model, not a curated record.
GUAAUUUCAAUUCAAGGUAAUUAAGCUCAAGCAGUAACUGCAAGGAAAGGUCCAAGAAGAUUUGCUCUUCAUUUGUGCUGUUUUAAGGGCUGGGCUUUGGAUUCCUAGAGAAAACCUACGAAGGUGCUGAGUGCUUAAUGACUUGGCGGAGGAAGACUGUAGGCAGGGUUUGCACUGAGCUUGUGGCACUGUUUGAUGUCCCAACCACCUGCCAGCAGAACAUAGGACUGUUAGGGCUGGUGCACAGCUAUCAUCUGCUACAGCGCCAGGUAUGACUGCUGUGUGGUGUCAGUACAACCUCUGAAGUGCUUUCUGCUGGCUAGAUAGAAUUAUGUCUGUAAUUCAAUGACAGUGAGCCCUUGGAGACUUCUGUCUGCAUAG